UACGUAGGGGGCGAGCAUUGUCCGGAUUUAUUGGGCGUAAAGAGCGUGUAGGCGGCCAGGUAGGUCUGCUGUGAAAACUCGAGGCUCAACCUCGAGACGUCGGCGGAAACCAUCUGGCUAGAGUCCGGAAGAGGAGAGUGGAAUUCCUGGUGUAGCGGUGAAAUGCGCAGAUAUCAGGAAGAACACCCGUGGCGAAGGCGGCUCUCUGGGACGGUACUGACGCUGAGACGCGAAAGCGUGGGGAGCGAACAGG
Molecule: ribosomal RNA, 253 nt
Filed under: uncultured bacterium
Lineage: Bacteria
Description: partial 16S ribosomal RNA
Rfam family: Bacterial small subunit ribosomal RNA
Source: RNAcentral